UGGAAAUGUUGAGGCUCUCGGUGGAGUUGGACAAGCCACCUUGAGAAUUUUGCAGGCAGUUUUAUUCUUCAGCAUGAAAUUUGGGAUCCCUGCAACAAUCAUCUAGGAGCAGGCAGUCAUGAUUCAGGCAUAUACAUGAGGAAAGUGACCUUGUUCAGGAGUUCAGAAGAAGAUGUGCAGAGGUUCUUUCCUUCCAUCCUACCCUUCUUCUCUCCAUCUUUCUAAAUGAAAUUUCACACCCCAUCAUUUAUACAAAUAAUGUCUUUUUUCUGCUUUAGAAGAAAAUUGUCAUAGAAACUCUAGGUAACAUGAAAUCACCAGCCUAAGUUCAAGACUAGCUGAUGAUUUAGUUUGUGGGCUUCCAUUCUCUACAUGAACUUCAUGUUAAAGGAAGAACAAAAGCAACUACGGUGUUUCUGUGACAUAAAAUAAA
Numida meleagris (helmeted guineafowl) is the source of this 433-nucleotide long non-coding RNA. RefSeq lists it as uncharacterized. NCBI's taxonomy places the organism in Eukaryota, Metazoa, Chordata, Aves, Galliformes, Numididae. The transcript is spliced from 3 exons. The record is from RefSeq and is a predicted model, not a curated record.